GGUGAGUAAUGCGUAGGAAUCUACCUAGUAGUAUGGAAUAGCCAUUAGAAAUGAUGGGUAAUACUGUAUAAUCCCUGCGGGGGAAAGAUUUAUCGCUAUUAGAUGAGCCUACGUUAGAUUAGCUAGUUGGUAAGGUAAUGGCUUACCAAGGCUAUGAUCUAUAGCUGGUCUGAGAGGACGAUCAGCCACACUGGAACUGAGAUACGGUCCAGACUCCUACGGGAGGCAGCAGUGGGGAAUAUUGGACAAUGGGCGAAAGCCUGAUCCAGCUAUGCCGCGUGAGUGAAGAAGGCCUUCGGGUUGUAAAGCUCUUUCAAUAGGGAAGAUAAUGACGGUACCUAUA
RNAcentral lists this ribosomal RNA (343 nucleotides) under Ehrlichia ewingii. RNAcentral's name for it is "bacterial SSU rRNA". It matches the Rfam family "Bacterial small subunit ribosomal RNA", at positions 105 to 483 of the family's 1533-position model. Lineage: Bacteria; Pseudomonadati; Pseudomonadota; Alphaproteobacteria; Rickettsiales; Anaplasmataceae. The record is from RNAcentral.